UUAUUGGGCGUAAAGGGCUCGCAGGCUGCUUGAACAGUUAGACGUGAAAUCCCCGGGCUUAACCUGGGAACUGCGUUUAAUACUAGCAAGCUAGAGAAAUAGAGAGGAAAGUGGAACUCCAGUGUAGAGGUGAAAUUCGUAGAUAUUGGGGAAGAACACCAGUGGCGAAGGCGACUGCCUGGGCUGACAUUGACGCUGAGGUGCGAAAGCGUGGGUAGCAAACAGGAUUAGAUACCCUGGUAGUCCACGCUGUAAACGCUGAGAACUAGUCGUUGGGGCUAUUAGAGCCUUAGUGACGCAGCUAACGCGAUAAGUUCUCCGCCUGGGGAGUACGGCCGCAAGGUUAAAACUCAAAUGAAUUGACGGGGACCCGCACAAGCAGUGGAGCAUGUGGUUUAAUUCGAAGAUACGCGCAGAACCUUACCAACACUUGACAUGUUCGUCGCGACUCUAAGAGAUUAGAGUUUUCGGUUCGGCUGGAUCAGUGACAGGUGCUGCAUGGCU
Molecule: ribosomal RNA, 504 nt
Filed under: uncultured Pseudomonadota bacterium
Lineage: Bacteria; Pseudomonadati; Pseudomonadota
Description: bacterial SSU rRNA
Rfam family: Bacterial small subunit ribosomal RNA
Source: RNAcentral